Small nucleolar RNA from Lathyrus oleraceus (garden pea), 107 nucleotides. NCBI's taxonomy places the organism in Eukaryota, Viridiplantae, Streptophyta, Magnoliopsida, Fabales, Fabaceae. The record is from RefSeq and is a predicted model, not a curated record.
AGCCCGUGACGAGGAUAUAAUCUCAUCAUGUCCUUGUAUCAUUCCCACGCCUCAAAGAGUGUCUCUCCUUCGGUUUGUCUAAAUGUGGUUAUGUGAUUUCUUAGUAC